This 855-nucleotide ribosomal RNA is filed under the name Monacha bithynica. RNAcentral describes it as "partial 16S ribosomal RNA". The record is from RNAcentral. Lineage: Eukaryota; Metazoa; Mollusca; Gastropoda; Stylommatophora; Hygromiidae.
GUAAUCUAAAUUUUGUAUAAUUAUAACUACACGAAACCAUAUGAUCUAAUUUAUAUUUAGUUAUUAGACUUUAAAACUUUGGCGUAGCAUAGCCAUUUGGUUAGUAUAAAUUAGGGGUGACAGGCCUAACAAGUUUGGGGAUAUCUUGAUAUUAAGAAAAUAUAUUUAGUAUAUAAGUCAAUUUGGAAAUGGUAAGGUUUCCAAAGGGUAUCAAUUUAGUAGAAUUUUUAUUUGGCCUGUGUAAAAGUUACCAAAAAUAUGGUUAAAAAUAUUAAUUACUUUAAAUUAUAUUACAAACUUAAUUAAUUGAUUAUACUAGGUCGCAAAAUAAUAAUGAUUUCAUUAGUAUUAUUUAAUAGGCUUUAGUUAGGAAUUCGGCAAAUUUUUCCUCGACUGUUUAUCAAAAACAUAGCCCCAAGUAUUUAAAUUUAGGGUUUAACCUGCUCAAUGAAUUUUAAAUAGCCGCAGUAUACUGACUGUGCAAAGGUAGCAUAAUCAGUUGGCUUAUAAUUGAAGUCUGGUAUGAAUGGGAAUUUGGGGAAAAGCUGUCUUACUAAAUUGUUUUGAACUUACUUAAUAAGUGAAAAUUCUUAUUGUGAGAAAAAAGACGAGAAGACCCUAGAAAUUUUUUUAAUAUUAAAUACUAAUAAUUUUGUUGGGGCGACAGGGUAACAUAAAACUUACUCAAAUUAAUAUAAACUUAUUUAGGAAAAUAGAUAAAUUACUCUAGGGAUAACAGCAUAAUAUUUUAAAGAUUGUGACCUCGAUGUUGGACUAGGAAAUUUAUUACCUAAAAGGUAAUAAAAUAGGCUCUGUUCGAGCUAUUAUAUCCUACAUGAUCUGAGUUCAGACCGG